Molecule: long non-coding RNA, 2518 nt
Organism: Dermochelys coriacea (leatherback sea turtle)
Lineage: Eukaryota; Metazoa; Chordata; Testudines; Dermochelyidae
Exons: 3
Source: RefSeq, a predicted model, not a curated record
AUCAGCCCUUUCUUUGCCAGCUUCUGUGAGCAGGGCCUGCCUCUGGCUCUCAGCUUAAUUUUGCUUCAUGUUAGCAAAGUCUUGACUAUUACUUUAGCUCAGGCCUUAGGUCUCAUACCAGGCCUCUGAUACCAAGGGUUUAUGUUUCAGGGCCUCCUCUUAUUACAGGUACCUGGAUGGAGUCCUGAGUCUGGAUCACUUUAAGGGAACUGUGUUUGGACUUCUGAGUAACCCGUAAGAUAAGAGCUUCUGUGUUACCAGAAUCCCUUCAGAUGUAAAGUUUUAAUGGCAACCCUUGUACCAGGCCUCAGCCGCAGUGACACAGGACACAAUUCUGACCCUACCUAAAGCUUGCAGGAGGUGAGCUCAAGAAUUUUGGCUGUGUCUCUGUGACGGCAUCCAACAGGUGGCUGACGCAGGUGACCAUAGACGGUUGUGUGAGGACAUUAGAACAGCCAUUGGGCCGAUAAAGAACAAAACAGCUCCACUGAAAGAUCUGGAUGGCAAUAUUAUAACUGAUAAAGGGAACAACUGGAGAGGUAGAUGGAGCACUAUGGAAUGAUAUACUCAAGGGAGUCUGUAGUAGACCAACGAGUGUUAGACAAAUUGUCUGGGUUUGAAGUUAUGACUUCACUGGAUGUCAAACCUACACUGGAGGAAAAAGAUUCCCAACAACAAAGCUUUAGGACUGACUGUUUACCUGCUGAAAUCUACAAAUGUGCAAAGACUGCAUGAAGUGCUGCUACUCUGUUGGAAGGAAGAAACUGUUCUGCAAGAUUUUAAGGAUGUUUGUUUCAUCCUACUCUAUUAAAACAAAGGAGACAGAAGUGAUUAUAAUAACCACAGAGGUAUAUCUCUUCUUCAUAUAGUGGGAAAAAUUUUUAGCUAGACUUCAAACUUUAGCUGAGAGAAUAUAUCCCAAGAGUCAGUGUGACUUCUGCUCGGGAAGGUCCACCAUAGACAUGGUCUUCUCUGUAAGACAAUUGCAGGAAAAGCGCUGAGAGAAGCGUAUUCCACUGUACAUGGCUUUUAUAGAUUUAACAAAAGCCUUUGACGUGGUUCGACAGUCACGGCUUUACACUGUUCUGAAGAGGCUUGUGAAAUACUUACAUGAUAGCAUGAAGGCAACUGUAAUGUAAGAAAACCAAGAGUCUGACUCAUUUAACAUCAACAGUGGAGUGAAGGAGAGUUGUGUACUGGCUUCUACAUUGUUUAAUAUUUAUUUCUCAUUCCCGCUUCAAUACGCGUUCUGUGAUGUUCGAAAUGGUGUCUAUUUUAGCACUAGACAUGCUGGAAUUUUGUUUAACAUUGGAAGGUUCAGAGCUAAGACGAAGGUGAAGGAGAUCAUCAUGAGGGACCUGUUGUUUGCAGAUGACGCAGCCCUUGUGGGUCUUAGUGUUGAUGCCCUACAACAUCUUAUUACCAAGUUCUUUGAUUCAUGCAAAAUAUUUGGGCUAGCAAUAUGCUUGAAGAAGUCUAUUAUUAUGCACCAAGACUCUUCAGAACCAGUUCCAGAUAUCACCUUAUAUGGUAUUCGUCUAGAUGUUGUUGACUAAUUUUGCUACCUUAGCUCUACUGUUACCAGCAAUAUAGCUCUUGAUGCUGAGCUUACUAGUAGAAUUGGCAAAGCAACCAGGAACUUUGGUCUUUUGCAAGACAGAUCCUGGAACAAUAACAAGUUGUCAACUAAAGUGAAAAUCCAUAUUUAUGAGACGUGUUUUAUCCACUCUUCUAUAUGGCUCAGAAACAUGGAUGACUUAUGCCAAACAUACCAAAAGACUAAAUAGUUUUCAUAUCAGAUGCUUGUAUAAAAUUCUUUGAAUAAUAUGGCAAGACAGGGUGACAAAGGUGGAAGUGUUAAAUUGUGCUGGUAUGUCAUUCAUGGGAACGUUCAUGGGAAGAAAAGGUGGCUUGAACAUCUCAAUAGAAUGCCGGACUACAGGAUCCCAAAGAGUGUGCUGUACUCUGAAGCUCGUGAAGGGUCUAGAAAGAGAGGCAGACCGCUGUGCAGAUUUUGGGAUGUUUGCAAAGAUGAUUUAGUAUCCUUUGGAAUCUCUGUGGAUGAUUGGGAAAGGAGUGCAGAAUGCUCCUCUGGUUGGAGGAGUAGACUUGUAGAUUGACUGAGGCAUUGUAAGGCGGACUGGAUCAAGCUUUGUUAUGUCCGGUGUCAGAGGAGGAAAGAAUCUGCUGCUCGGAUUCAGAGUGUGACAGAUUACCCCCCCCACAGGGUGCCACCUGAUGUACUGGGGUACCAGUGAGCCUGCCUGUUCCACCAGCCUGGGCUUCCUUACACGGUCUUGCUGAGCCAGGCCCUCAAGCCUCCUGUAGCACACACACAGGUAAGGACGCACCCAGUGCAGAAAGACACAGACACUGAAAUCAGCACCACAUGGGAAGGCUUCAGCUAGAGAGUUGCCCAGCACCCAAGUGCAAACCUGUCUGGAGUGUAAACCCCAAAUUGUAUCAUCUUGCGCUGCACAGAGAACUAUACAGCGUAAGCUCAUGAAAUCCGCCCCCU